This 855-nucleotide long non-coding RNA is filed under the name Erythranthe guttata (spotted monkey flower). RNAcentral describes it as "long non-coding RNA (EGUT_LNC002574)". Lineage: Eukaryota; Viridiplantae; Streptophyta; Magnoliopsida; Lamiales; Phrymaceae. The record is from RNAcentral.
CUGAUCCUUUCAUUUCAUAAACCAUUAUUGAUCUUGAGGUAAGUUGAAGCUUUCAUUUGCACAUCGUAAGAACCUAAUUAUGUGCGCUUUAAUGUGACUUUUGCUAUGUAUUCUCUAUAAUGUUUGAAUGAUUGAUGAGUCAUAGUGAUAUGAAAGAAUAUGUUUUGAAAAUGGGAGUAUGGUACUUGAUUGAUGGUCGAGUAGGCAAGGGACGCAGGAGGAACCGGCGGACCCAACACAUGGUGGCAAAUACCUGAGGUCGAAAGACCAGUAUGGAAAACCCACAAUUAAAGAAAUGAAAUACGGCUAAUACCUGAGGUCGAAAGGCCGGUAUGGAAACCCCCGUAUUAUCUAUUGGCCAAAUUUGAUGAACAGGUUCCGAAAAUCAAAGUCUAUUGCUAUCAGUCAAGUACCACACUUCAAGGGUACCCGAUAAAGAGAAGGAUUUCAAAGAAAAGGAUCACGAAUGAAGUUAUAGAUGUGAUAUUGUACUUAUUGAAUAGAUAAUGUGUUAUGUGAUUGAUAUAUUGCUAUUACAUCAGUUUCAACUUGCUGAGCCAUUAGCUCAUUAGGUUCUUAUGAUGCAGGUAAUGAUGUACAUGUUUAGAAGUUGACCUAGCCAAGAGCGGCCAGUCAGAUAUUUGUUCAUAUGCCAUGCUUCGAGCCAUUUUUGUAGCCGAGCAGAAACUCUGAUUUCAUUUUGUUAGCCGCUCUAUUAUGGUUUUUGUACAAUGUAAUUUUGUAAACAAUGAAUAUAUAUAUGUACGGAUUUUGAGAAAGUACAAAGUUUGAUUUCUUUUCAAAGCAUAUAACGUAUUUUUGUAUUAAAACCAUAAUGUUUAAGUAUAUAUAUAA